This 481-nucleotide ribosomal RNA is filed under the name uncultured bacterium. Its description in RNAcentral is "partial 16S ribosomal RNA". It matches the Rfam family "Bacterial small subunit ribosomal RNA", at positions 30 to 507 of the family's 1533-position model. The record is from RNAcentral.
UGAACGCUGGCGGCAGGCCUAACACAUGCAAGUCGAGCGGAUGAAGGGAGCUUGCUCCUGGAUUCAGCGGCGGACGGGUGAGUAAUGCCUAGGAAUCUGCCUGGUAUUGGGGGAUAACGUCCGGAAACGGGCGCUAAUACCGCAUACGUCCUGAGGGAGAAAGUGGGGGAUCUUCGGACCUCACGCUAUCAGAUGCGCCUAGGUCGGAUAGCUAGUUGGUGGGGUAAAGGCCUACCAAGGCGACGAUCCGUAACUGGUCUGAGAGGAUGAUCAGUCACACUGGAACUGAGACACGGUCCAGACUCCUACGGGAGGCAGCAGUGGGGAAUAUUGGACAAUGGGCGAAAGCCUGAUCCAGCCAUGCCGCGUGUGUGAAGAAGGUCUUCGGAUUGUAAAGCACUUUAAGUUGGGAGGAAGGGCAGUAAGUUAAUACCUUGCUGUUUUGACGUUACCAACAGAAUAAGCACCGGCUAACUUCGUG